GCUCAUCCAUCCUCCAUGGACUCUGUCAAUUUUAGUGAUCAGCCUGUCUUUUCAGUUUGUCCAUUCUAUAUUGCUUUCCCACGAAAAAAGAAUAAAACUUCAUUGCAAUUGUAAUUGAUGCCCAUAUGGUUUAUCAGGGUGAGUGGUGUACUUGAGGUCACCAGAUUCCAUCUCCAAGUUUGCUUAUUGUUGCUCCAAGGUCUCCACAAUUCAACUUAUCUGAGGAAGUUUUACAACUUCUUUUAUGUUCUUGCCUUUCACAUAAUUCUAUGAGAGAUGGAUGGUGAAGUGAUAGUUGUGGCAGUUGAUGCAAGUAAAGAGAUAACGGAUUAUGCUCUCGAAUGGGCAGUGCGCAAUCUGACCAAGACUUCGGACUCUGUAUUCCUAUUUGCCGUUCUUCCUUCUAAAGCUCCCGCUGGUGCCGAUAGGACACAUAAGUCUAAGACAUCGUGGUUUUUCUCUGGCUUGCUCAAGAAGUGGGGUCUCAGCCACAAUGACAAGAUUUCGUUAGAUAACAUGGCCCGAGCACUCAACGAUGGAGUAGAAACUGAUGUAAACCUGAAGGUGAAAGGUGUUUGUGAGCUUAUGAUGUGGCACGUAUUUUCGGCUCACAAAAUCAAGCAGGUGCACAGUAUAGUCAAAGUCAUAACAGAUGCACAGCCAGGGUCAGUUGCGACUGCAGCUGGAGAGCUUGGAGCAACCUGGGUAGUUCUAGAUAGACGGUUGAAGAAAGAGGGUGACAACUGUUUGAAACAAUUGAUCUGUAACAUAGUACUUGUAGACCACGCCAUCCCAAGGAUCCUGAGAGCAGUUAAUCCCCAUAUUCAGAAGAAAGUUAACACUAAAGUGGACCAAAAUGACCCCACAGUAGCUGACAUGCUUGGCGUAGUUACUGCAUACAACUAUAAAGAUAAUAGCAGUCCAGCGAUUCAUAGCAGUCUCGGGUUUGGAAGUCCAAAUAUUAAGGCAGACACAUCGUCCUCACUUUCUACCACAGAGAAGGACCCCUUUUACUUGCUCAAUGCUACCACUAGAGAUGUGACGCUGUACAGUUCGCGUAUACAUCUCAAUUCUCAGUAUUUCCACCAGGAGACGAAAAUCCAGGCUGCAUUCAAACCCUCUGUGGAAAAUACUAAUCAUCAAUCGGUGAGGAAGGUGUCAAACUCCAACAUUGACGAGACACUUCUUAGAGCAUCAGCUACUCCUUUGGAGCCAAAAAGGAAAAGCUAUAGUGGUCCUCUGAAGACUAAAAGCGAAAUGGCAAAGGGUAAUAAUCUUAAAGCAGUGAACAUGGUUCCAGUCCCAGCGAGACGAUCAGUAGAUUCAUCACGCUUAUGGCAAAAAGCAGACAGCCCACAACAGUCAAAAGAGCUGAUCACAAGAAAAGACCCUUCAACUUUCCACGACAAUCAACCAACAGCAGUCCCUUCUAUUAGUAUUCCACGAAUAUCGAGUGUCAGGAGAGCUGUGUCUCUCUCAAUUAAACAUCCCCCGACACCUCCACCUCUCUGCUCUGUCUGUAAGCUUAAUGCUCCGCAUUUUGGUAAGGCUCCUAGGAAGUUCAGUUACGAAGAGAUUGAAAGAGCUACCAAUAAAUUCGCAGCAGAAAACUUCUUGGCAGAAGGUGGAUUUGGUCCUGUCUAUAGAGGAGUGUUAGCCGAUGGACAAGUCGUUGCAGUGAAGCAGCACAAGUUCUUGAGUGCACAAGGUGCAUCAGAGUUCUGUUCCGAAAUUGAAGUGCUGAGUUGUGCACAGCAUAAGAACUUGGUGAUGUUAGUGGGCUAUUGCAUCGAAACAGAAUGGCUCCUCAUAUAUGAGUUUGCUUGCAAUGGUUCAUUGGACAAGCAUCUGUACGGAAAAGAGUCAUCCGAGUUGCUGACCUGGCCUAAUCGGAUGAAGGUUGCAAUAGGAGCUGCAAGAGGCUUGAGAUAUCUUCAUGAAGAUUGUCGAGUCGGAUGCAUUAUACAUAGAGACUUCAGGCCCAACAACAUCCUCCUCACCCAUGACUUUGAACCCAUGGUGGGUGAUUUUGGCCUAGCAAGGUGGCAAGCAGAUGGCCAAGCAGCCGAGGAGACACGGGUUGUUGGUGCAUUUGGGUACUUGGCUCCAGAGUAUACUCAGACUGGGCUUAUAACAGAGAAAGCUGAUGUAUAUGCAUAUGGGAUAGUUCUGUUGGAGCUACUAAGUGGCUUUAAGGCCACUGAUUUUUCAAGAAGUACUGGAAAACAGUUUGUGUCUGAUUGGGCAAGUCUUCUCACCAUCUUGCAUUACACUGCAUAGGAGAAACUUCAAAGAACCAUUAUUUUGUUAGUUUAUAACUGGGCCUUCCGUUGCUGAAAAGGGGGAUGAUUAAUGGGAUAAUAGAUCCACAACUGUUAGACAAGUGCGUAAAAUGGGAAGUGGAUGCCAUGAUGCACGCUGCAGAAUUGUGUCUCUCACCACUGCCAGAACAAAGACCAAGGAUGUCGCAGGUGUUGAAAAUACUGGAUGGAGAUAUGCCUGGUAUGGCUUUGGCUUUGCCGCAGCAUAACCCAAAUGAACAUGUUGACGGCCAAACCACCUCCUGGGUGAUGCAUCAUAAUGUGAACAAAAAUCCUUCCAGAGUGAGUGAACCAAAACGAAAUGGCCAAGAUACUACAUGCGAGCCAGCAUUGCUUUUGGAUGGUUCUGGAGUGGAAAGAAGUCCUCAUGCUUCAAAUUGUUCAGAGAUGCUCGUAAGUGAAGAAUACCAGGCAUAUUUACGGGGUUCAUUGGCCAAAUUUAUACAGGAUAUGAGGGUACAUUAAUGGUAACAUGUAGUAGCUGAACAAGUGAUUAUAUUGGAUGAAUCAGUGUUGUAAAGUUUUUGUGAACGGUAUAGUUAACGCAUAGAAUUGCAAUUGCUGAGUACGAGGCUUAAGCAGAAGCAUCUUCUGACCAGGCAUAUAUCGGUGUUCACCACACAAGACCCUUCAAUGUUUAUCUACACAGUGACGAGUUUCUACUUUCUCCAUAAAGUUAGUAUUCAUAAGAUUCUUGUGUGAGCA
This is an RNA transcript of Syzygium oleosum, 3026 nucleotides long. It is a transcript of the gene named CTD kinase subunit alpha-like, with no coding region annotated. The transcript is spliced from 10 exons. Lineage: Eukaryota; Viridiplantae; Streptophyta; Magnoliopsida; Myrtales; Myrtaceae. The record is from RefSeq and is a predicted model, not a curated record.